AGGUAUUCAGGGAGGGUACGUAUGCUCUGUAACCAGGAACUCUCAACACUGUGACCAAAGAUUGAAGUCUCCCUAGGAGUCCCUAGUCAGUGACUCUUGUAAUUGCCUGAGGAUGUAACCAC
RNAcentral lists this small nucleolar RNA (122 nucleotides) under Jaculus jaculus (lesser Egyptian jerboa). RNAcentral's name for it is "Small nucleolar RNA SNORA25 (ENSJJAG00000007241.1)". The record is from RNAcentral. Lineage: Eukaryota; Metazoa; Chordata; Mammalia; Rodentia; Dipodidae.